AACACACACAUGGUUGUAUGUGUGUGUGUGUGUGUGUGUGUGUGUGUGUGUGUGUGUGUGUGCAUACAACCAUGCACACACACACACUCACACCUAGGAACAAUUU
This 106-nucleotide microRNA precursor is filed under the name Poecilia formosa (Amazon molly). RNAcentral describes it as "miRNA (ENSPFOG00000021561.1)". Lineage: Eukaryota; Metazoa; Chordata; Actinopteri; Cyprinodontiformes; Poeciliidae. The record is from RNAcentral.